GCGUGCGCCUACAGCCUCCUCGCCCUCCUCGUGCCGCCGGCGAGCCCCGCCGCGAGGCACGUCCUCGUGGCCGACGCGGUGAGUUCACGGCGCACCACGCUGCCCGGCCGUCUCUGUACAGUAUCGCCACGUCUCUGAUUAGGUCGUUUUUGCUGAACUCGUUGUCAUGAGCUGCAGGUGCUCGGCAUGGUGCUCACCGGCGCGGCCGCGGCCGCGGCCGCCAUAUCGGCCCUGGGGAAGAACGGGAACAGCCACGCGGGCUGGCAGCCGAUCUGCGGGCUAGUGCCCACUUUCUGCGACCAUGUCACGGGGGCUCUCGCCUGUGGCUUCGUCGCGGUCGUCCUCCACUUACUCGUCGUUCUCCAUUCCAUUUACACCAUGAACAGCUAGGGCAUGCUGCCUUUUGUGCCAUUUGUCGCUGGUUUUUACUGCAUGAAGAGAAUAAAUUCGAAUAUACACGCUCUCUCAGUGGCAUAGUUUGUGAUAUUCUGAAAUUACUUGCAAUUUUUUAGACUUCAAAAUUACGCUAGUAUUGCUUUGGUAGAACUAAAGGUUCGUCGACCUGACUAUGUACAUCAAUUUGAAGAUAAUUCUGUGAAAUAAAUGAGCAAAUGUUAUGUGAUCCAUGAGACAAACAAUGUUUCUU
This 646-nucleotide long non-coding RNA is filed under the name Triticum aestivum (bread wheat). RNAcentral describes it as "long non-coding RNA (TAES_LNC000024)". The record is from RNAcentral. Lineage: Eukaryota; Viridiplantae; Streptophyta; Magnoliopsida; Poales; Poaceae.